Molecule: small nuclear RNA, 106 nt
Organism: Perognathus longimembris pacificus (Pacific pocket mouse)
Lineage: Eukaryota; Metazoa; Chordata; Mammalia; Rodentia; Heteromyidae
Source: RefSeq, a predicted model, not a curated record
GUGCUCACUUUGGCAGCAUAUAUACUGUAAAACUGGAGCGAUACAGAGAAUAACAUGAUCCCUGUGCAAGGAUGGCGUGCAAAUUUGUGAAGUGUCCCCCCCAAAA